GUUAAUGUAGCUUAAUAUAUAAAGCAAGACACUGAAAAUGUCUAGAUGGGCUACUUCACCCCAUAAACA
This 69-nucleotide transfer RNA is filed under the name Cheracebus lucifer. Its description in RNAcentral is "tRNA-Phe". It matches the Rfam family "tRNA". From Rfam's summary of the family: Transfer RNA (tRNA) molecules are approximately 80 nucleotides in length. Their secondary structure includes four short double-helical elements and three loops (D, anti-codon, and T loops). Lineage: Eukaryota; Metazoa; Chordata; Mammalia; Primates; Pitheciidae. The record is from RNAcentral.